CAUAGAACCAAAAGUCAAACACGACACACACACACACCUAUUUCGUCCACAUGUAUUAAUACAACUGCCUUCUUACAAGCUGUACAUGUGUCAUUAAAAAUCACUACUCCUGUUGUAACAUUAUGUAAUACAACAAACAAAGGCAGAAAAGGGAAUGGUAUGACACACUGUUAGGAGGUGCUGGAACCACUAUGGGUAUACUAAAUAGUUAUAGAUAUGGAGACCCUCAAGAAUAAGUUAAACACAGCCAGCAUGCAUAUAGGGACUGGUUUCCAUGCUACUGCAAACUGGGCUCCAAUUGUUGUUAAAUCACAGGUUAUAGGAUUGGAUUUAGAUAAAUCAAUGUAUAAUUAUUUAGAUAAUUUAACUGUUGCAACUAUGAAAUUCACUACAGGUCUAAGUAACUGGAGUACUUGUGCCAUCAGGUAUUUAUGGAUACAACAACAAGGAUUGGCAUUAGAAAACACACUAAUGAUUCCCAAACUAGAGAAGAUUAGAGGAAAGCGUAACCUCACAGAUAAUGAAUGGUUACUUCUAAAACCCCAAUCCAGUAAAUGCAAUGGAUGGUUAACUGGUAAUGUUUCACAUUUUUCAUGCUCAUGCUAUUUUACAUUAUAUCAUACAACAUCAAAGGAUGUUAAAUUAGCUUGUCAAUUUAACACAUUACCAGUACCAGUUUAUGAUCUUUUUGCCAAGAAUUUAACCUGGUGGGCACCCACAUACACAGGGGACUAUAUUUUUCCCAAAGAUAACACACACAGGUAGCCACACAUAUCCUAAAAGGAGAACUCCUUAAGGUGAGUUCACAAAUUCAGAAUGAUUUAGCCCAUCAUUGGUACGAUGCUUCACUGGUUGGUCCCCUACUGGAUCCCAGAUAAUGAAAUCAUUCUUCUAUCCUUUUGUCAUUAUAGUCCUGAUUUUAUUGUGUAUGAUUUUAUAUAACUGUCACCUUAGUUGUACAUUGAGGAAGUGAGUACAGAAAUUAAUCCAUAAUGCAGAACAGAAACAAUUAAAAAUUCUCCUCUCUGCCACUGUAGAGUAUCAACCCAUCUUUAAACUGGGCCUUAGGAAUUACCACAUGGGAAUCGAGGUGAAGAAAUUAAUGAAAGUCCCGCAGGGAGUGACUAGCACCCCUGAAAAUACCAUGUGGAAGUUUCUCUGUCCUGGUAAGAUUUUAUCGAUAAGAUGAGCAAUUGUUUUAUUGCUCAAAGAGGGGAAUGUAAGAAUAUUAAAUAGUUAACUUGUUUAUAUGUAUUUUAUGCUUUUAUAAGGUUUAUAACAUGAUUAUUGCUGACUGAAG
Pelobates cultripes (western spadefoot toad) is the source of this 1300-nucleotide non-coding RNA. Lineage: Eukaryota; Metazoa; Chordata; Amphibia; Anura; Pelobatidae. The record is from the annotation of a GenBank genome assembly.